GACGAACGCUGGCGGCGUGCUUAACACAUGCCAGUCGAACGGAGAGGCCCUGCGUUUGUGGGGUGCUCGAGUGGCGAACGGGUGAGUAACACGUGAGUAACCUGCCCUUGACUUUGGGAUAACUUCAGGAAACUGGGGCUAAUACCGGAUAGGAGCUCCUGCUGCAUGGUGGGGGUUGGAAAGUUUCGGCGGUUGUGGAUGGACUCGCAGCUUAUCAGCUUGUUUGUGAGGUAGUGGAUGACCAAGGCUUUGACGGAUAGCCGGCCUGAGAGCGUGACCGGCCACAUUGGGACUGAGAUAGGGACCAGACUCCUACGGGAGGCAACAGUGGGGAAUAUUGCACAAUGGGCGGAAGCCUGAUGCGGAAACGCCGCGUGCGGAAUGACGGCCUUCGGGUUGUAAACCGCUUUCGCCUGUAACGAAGCGUGAGUGACGGUAAUGAGUCAGGAAGCACCGGCUAACUACGUG
This 468-nucleotide ribosomal RNA is filed under the name uncultured bacterium. RNAcentral describes it as "partial 16S ribosomal RNA". It matches the Rfam family "Bacterial small subunit ribosomal RNA", at positions 28 to 507 of the family's 1533-position model. The record is from RNAcentral.